GUCUGGAAACACAUAUUACCGUCAAUUUAACAUUCAACUUGUGUAACCGUGGGUGUGGGAUGGGGUGCGGAAGUAAAUGGAGGGGUGUAGGUUACCCUUUUGUGUGACGUUCUGGUGGUGUGUUUGUGUAGAGAAGUUCUGCAGUUUGAAAGUCCCUGUGGUUAGGGGGUUGUGAGGCCUGAGGCUUCCCGGGAGUGGAGAUACCGUCACCUAUUGUGGUGGUCGUGCGUGUGUGAUCCAUGUGGUGAUUUGUUCCCGGUUACCUCUCUCAUCGGUCACUUUGCCCGUGUUGUGCUGUGUUGAACUUCUGUCUUAUCUCUGGG
Pelobates cultripes (western spadefoot toad) is the source of this 323-nucleotide non-coding RNA. Lineage: Eukaryota; Metazoa; Chordata; Amphibia; Anura; Pelobatidae. The record is from the annotation of a GenBank genome assembly.